UACCAGCACCCCGAGUUGUCGGGACGAUUAUUGGGCCUAAAGCAUCCGUAGCCUGUUCUGCAAGUCCUCCGUUAAAUCCACCUGCUCAACGGAUGGGCUGCGGAGGAUACCGCAGAGCUAGGAGGCGGGAGAGGCAAACGGUACUCAGUGGGUAGGGGUAAAAUCCAUUGAUCUACUGAAGACCACCAGUGGCGAAGGCGGUUUGCCAGAACGCGCUCGACGGUGAGGGAUGAAAGCUGGGGGAGCAAACCGGAUUAGAAACCCCAGUAGUCC
This 273-nucleotide ribosomal RNA is filed under the name uncultured Nitrososphaera sp. RNAcentral's name for it is "partial 16S ribosomal RNA". It matches the Rfam family "Archaeal small subunit ribosomal RNA", at positions 474 to 747 of the family's 1478-position model. Lineage: Archaea; Thermoproteati; Nitrososphaerota; Nitrososphaeria; Nitrososphaerales; Nitrososphaeraceae. The record is from RNAcentral.